GUGCAGGGCAGGGCAGGGCUGGGCAGGGGCAUGGCGGGCAGGGCUGGGCUCCCCUGC
Molecule: microRNA precursor, 57 nt
Filed under: Ochotona princeps (American pika)
Lineage: Eukaryota; Metazoa; Chordata; Mammalia; Lagomorpha; Ochotonidae
Description: miRNA (ENSOPRG00000022041.1)
Source: RNAcentral